UAGGAUCACCAAUGAAACCACAGAACUACACAGAAUGGAACUAACAUUCUCCAUGUAUGAAGUAGGUUUGGAAAAGGAACUGAACGGCAAGCUGCAAGCUCACCUUUGCCAUGCAAGGGUAAUGUGGGUGCUUUAACUUAGUCUGUGAGAGGGAAGAGGGUGUUUCAUAAAAAUCUUACAGAUCGUUAUAUAUUUUAUAGAAUGCAAUAACGACAAAUGAUAAAGUUAUAGGAAAAAUCCUAAUCUUAGCACUUAGGAAGUGAAGGCAGAAAGGUAAGUAGUUCAGAGACAUCCUUGACUACUUGGAGAUAGCCUGGGCUACACACAAACACAAAGGAAAAAGAAAUGCCUAGCCAGUUAAUAAAAGAAAAUACUCAUUUAAAUUUUUAAAAAGCUAGCUCGUUCAUUUUUAAAUGAAGUCCUUUCAGAAAAGAAUCUUCGUCCCUCUUGCCGUUAUUAACAAGUGGUACUGUAGACAAGGAGUACUGGAAAGUUAAUUCUGAGUCUGACAACAUAUGAUUCCAGAUUAGGAAAAGUUAGCUCAUAGAGCUCAGAAGCAAUUGAUAAAAACCAAUCCCACAGCCCUCAGCCCAACAGCCCCUAACCUCAUAGUCUUCAGCCCCAUAGCCCCAACCCCAUAACCCCCAACCUCAUAGUCCCCAACUCCAUAGCCACUAACUCCAGAGGCUUCAGCCCCAUAGCCCUCAAAUUUGCAAUAAAAUCUAAAACUUCUGUAUGUGCAAACCUA
Molecule: long non-coding RNA, 748 nt
Filed under: Rattus norvegicus (Norway rat)
Lineage: Eukaryota; Metazoa; Chordata; Mammalia; Rodentia; Muridae
Description: long non-coding RNA NONRATT023435
Source: RNAcentral